Molecule: transfer-messenger RNA, 360 nt
Filed under: bacterium
Lineage: Bacteria
Rfam family: transfer-messenger RNA
About the family: Bacterial tmRNA, also known as 10Sa RNA or SsrA, is named for its dual tRNA and mRNA-like properties. Its role is to liberate the mRNA from a stalled ribosome. To accomplish this part of the tmRNA is used as a reading frame that ends in a translation stop signal.
Source: RNAcentral
GGGGGUGAAUUGGUUUCGACGGAGGUAGAUGAAGCGGAGGUUGCAUGUCGAGGUCCGUUGGCCUCGUUAAACUGACGGAAAACUAUUAAAUGCCAACUCUGAAUUGGCUCUAGCUGCCUAAUUAAUUAGGUAACUACGUCCUUCCUGUCUAAGCCUGCGGGGCAGGGAAGGGCGACGAUUAGCAGGCUAGCCGAUCAUUUUUUCUCAGAGGAUGAUCAGCGAAAAAACAUCUGAGAUAGUGCUUCGCAAAUCCUGCCUGCGAGAGUUGCGAAGGGCGACAACCCAAAACACAGGAAAAGCAUGUAGUAGCUUCUGUGGAUAUACCCUCGGACGCGAGUUCGAUUCUCGCCACCUCCACCA